RNAcentral lists this ribosomal RNA (1372 nucleotides) under uncultured bacterium. Its description in RNAcentral is "bacterial SSU rRNA". It matches the Rfam family "Bacterial small subunit ribosomal RNA", at positions 28 to 1381 of the family's 1533-position model. The record is from RNAcentral.
GAUGAACGCUGGCGGCGUGCCUAAUACAUGCAAGUCGAGCGAACGGACGAGAAGCUUGCUUCUCUGAUGUUAGCGGCGGACGGGUGAGUAACACGUGGAUAACCUACCUAUAAGACUGGGAUAACUUCGGGAAACCGGAGCUAAUACCGGAUAAUAUUUUGAACCGCAUGGUUCAAAAGUGAAAGACGGUCUUGCUGUCACUUAUAGAUGGAUCCGCGCUGCAUUAGCUAGUUGGUAAGGUAACGGCUUACCAAGGCAACGAUGCAUAGCCGACCUGAGAGGGUGAUCGGCCACACUGGAACUGAGACACGGUCCAGACUCCUACGGGAGGCAGCAGUAGGGAAUCUUCCGCAAUGGGCGAAAGCCUGACGGAGCAACGCCGCGUGAGUGAUGAAGGUCUUCGGAUCGUAAAACUCUGUUAUUAGGGAAGAACAUAUGUGUAAGUAACUGUGCACAUCUUGACGGUACCUAAUCAGAAAGCCACGGCUAACUACGUGCCAGCAGCCGCGGUAAUACGUAGGUGGCAAGCGUUAUCCGGAAUUAUUGGGCGUAAAGCGCGCGUAGGCGGUUUUUUAAGUCUGAUGUGAAAGCCCACGGCUCAACCGUGGAGGGUCAUUGGAAACUGGAAAACUUGAGUGCAGAAGAGGAAAGUGGAAUUCCAUGUGUAGCGGUGAAAUGCGCAGAGAUAUGGAGGAACACCAGUGGCGAAGGCGACUUUCUGGUCUGUAACUGACGCUGAUGUGCGAAAGCGUGGGGAUCAAACAGGAUUAGAUACCCUGGUAGUCCACGCCGUAAACGAUGAGUGCUAAGUGUUAGGGGGUUUCCGCCCCUUAGUGCUGCAGCUAACGCAUUAAGCACUCCGCCUGGGGAGUACGACCGCAAGGUUGAAACUCAAAGGAAUUGACGGGGACCCGCACAAGCGGUGGAGCAUGUGGUUUAAUUCGAAGCAACGCGAAGAACCUUACCAAAUCUUGACAUCCUUUGACAACUCUAGAGAUAGAGCCUUCCUCUUCGGGGGACAAAGUGACAGGUGGUGCAUGGUUGUCGUCAGCUCGUGUCGUGAGAUGUUGGGUUAAGUCCCGCAACGAGCGCAACCCUUAAGCUUAGCUGCCAUCAUUAAGUUGGGCACUCUAAGUUGACUGCCGGUGACAAACCGGAGGAAGGUGGGGAUGACGUCAAAUCAUCAUGCCCCUUAUGAUUUGGGCUACACACGUGCUACAAUGGACAAUACAAAGGGCAGCGAAACCGCGAGGCCAAGCAAAUCCCAUAAAGUUGUUCUCAGUUCGGAUUGUAGUCUGCAACUCGACUAUAUGAAGCUGGAAUCGCUAGUAAUCGUAGAUCGGCAUGCUACGGUGAAUACGUUCCCGGGUCU